AUUGAACGCUGGCGGCAGGCUUAACACAUGCAAGUCGAGCGGGGGAAGGUAGCUUGCUACUGGACCUAGCGGCGGACGGGUGAGUAAUGCUUAGGAAUCUGCCUAUUAGUGGGGGACAACAUCCCGAAAGGGAUGCUAAUACCGCAUACGUCCUACGGGAGAAAGCAGGGGAACUUCGGACCUUGCGCUAAUAGACGAGCCUAAGUCGGAUUAGCUAGUUGGCGGGGUAAAGGCCUACCAAGGCGACGAUCGUUAGCGGGGCUGGGAGGAUGUACCGCCACAAUGUGACUGAGAAACGGCCCAGACUCCUACGGGAGGCAGCAGUGGGGAAGAUUUGACGAUGGGGGGAACCCUGUUCCAGCCAUGCCGCGUGUUUGAAGAAGGCCUUAUGGUUGUAAAGCACUUUAAGCGAGGAGGAGGCUACUCUAGUUAAUACCUAGGGAUAGUGGACGUUACUCGCAGAAUAAGCACCGGCUAACUCUGUGCCAGCCGCCGCCGUAA
Molecule: ribosomal RNA, 501 nt
Filed under: uncultured bacterium
Lineage: Bacteria
Description: partial 16S ribosomal RNA
Rfam family: Bacterial small subunit ribosomal RNA
Source: RNAcentral